Molecule: non-coding RNA, 221 nt
Organism: Streptomyces sp. RSD-27
Lineage: Bacteria; Bacillati; Actinomycetota; Actinomycetes; Kitasatosporales; Streptomycetaceae
Source: Rfam
CCUCUGGUGUGCCAGUUGUCCUGCCAAGGGCAUGGCUGGUUGGCUACGUUCGGGAGGGAUAACCGCUGAAAGCAUCUAAGCGGGAAGCCUGCUUCAAGAUGAGUAUUCCCACCUCCUUGAGAGGGUAAGGCUCCCAGUAGACGACUGGGUUGAUAGGCCAGAUGUGGAAGCCCGGUAACGGGUGGAGCUGACUGGUACUAAUAGGCCGAGGGCUUGUCCUC